CCUACGGGAGGCAGCAGUGGGGAAUAUUGCACAAUGGGGGAAACCCUGAUGCAGCGACGCCGCGUGAGUGAAGAAGUAAUUCGUUAUGUAAAGCUCUAUCAGCAGGGAAGAAAAUGACGGUACCUGAGUAAGAAGCCACGGCGAACUACGUGCCAGCAGCCGCGGUAAUACGUAGGGGGCAAGCGUUAUCCGGAUUUACUGGGUGUAAAGGGAGCGUAGACGGCAGUGCAAGUCUGGAGUGAAAGGCUGGGGCUCAACCCCCGGACUGCUCUUGAAACUGUACGGCUGGAGUGCAGUAGAGGUAAGUGGAAUUCCUAGUGUAGCGGUGAAAUGCGUAGAUAUUAGGAGGAACACCAGUGGCGAAGGCGGCUUACUGGACUGUAACUGACGUUGAGGCUCGAAAGCGUGGGGAGCAAACAGGAUUAGAUACCCUUGUAGUC
Molecule: ribosomal RNA, 440 nt
Filed under: uncultured bacterium
Lineage: Bacteria
Description: partial 16S ribosomal RNA
Rfam family: Bacterial small subunit ribosomal RNA
Source: RNAcentral